RNAcentral lists this ribosomal RNA (447 nucleotides) under uncultured bacterium. Its description in RNAcentral is "partial 16S ribosomal RNA". It matches the Rfam family "Bacterial small subunit ribosomal RNA", at positions 329 to 792 of the family's 1533-position model. The record is from RNAcentral.
GGCCAGACUCCUACGGGAGGCAGCAGUGGGGGAUAUUGCACAAUGGGGGGAACCCUGAUGCAGCGACGCCGCGUGGGUGAAGGAGCGUUUCGGCGCGUAAAGCCCUAUCGGCAGGGAAGAAGGAGGACGGUACCUGAGGAAUAAGCCACGGCUAACUACGUGCCAGCAGCCGCGGUAAUACGUAGGGGGCAAGCGUUAUCCGGAUUUACUGGGUGUAAAGGGAGCGUAGACGGCGAUGCAAGCCAGAUGUGAAAGCCCGGGGCUCAACCCCGGGACUGCAUUUGGAACUGUGUGGCUGGAGUGUCGGAGAGGCAGGCGGAAUUCCUAGUGUAGCGGUGAAAUGCGUAGAUAUUAGGAGGAACACCAGUGGCGAAGGCGGCCUGCUGGACCGUAACUGACGUUGAGACUCGAAAGCGUGGGGAGCAAACAGGAUUAGAUACCCCAGUA